Molecule: ribosomal RNA, 301 nt
Filed under: uncultured bacterium
Lineage: Bacteria
Description: partial 16S ribosomal RNA
Rfam family: Bacterial small subunit ribosomal RNA
Source: RNAcentral
CAGCAGCCGCGGGAAUACGUAGGGUGCGAGCGUUAAUCGGAAUUACUGGGCGUAAAGCGUGCGCAGGCGGUUCGUUAAGACAGAUGUGAAAUCCCCGGGCUUAACCUGGGAACUGCAUUUGUGACUGGCGAGCUAGAGUAUGGCAGAGGGGGGUAGAAUUCCACGUGUAGCAGUGAAAUGCGUAGAGAUGUGGAGGAAUACCGAUGGCGAAGGCAGCCCCCUGGGCCAAUACUGACGCUUAUGCACGAAAGCGUGGGGAGCAAACAGGAUUAGAUACCCGAGUAGUCCCUGUCUCUUAUAC